UAAAAGUGGGGCCAAGUUGAAGGUGA
Molecule: non-coding RNA, 26 nt
Filed under: Homo sapiens (human)
Lineage: Eukaryota; Metazoa; Chordata; Mammalia; Primates; Hominidae
Source: RNAcentral